This 372-nucleotide ribosomal RNA is filed under the name uncultured organism. Its description in RNAcentral is "bacterial SSU rRNA". It matches the Rfam family "Bacterial small subunit ribosomal RNA", at positions 526 to 896 of the family's 1533-position model. The record is from RNAcentral.
CGUAGGGUGCUAACGUUGUUCGGAAUCACUGGGCAUAAAGAGCGCGUAGGCGGUCUGAUAAGUCAGGUGUGAAAUCCCCCGGCUCAACCGGGGAACUGCACCUGAUACUGUUGGGCUUGAGUGCAGGAGGGGAGAGCGGAAUUCCUGGUGGAGCGGUGAAAUGCGUAGAUAUCAGGAGGAACGCCGGCGGCGAAAGCGGCUCUCUGGCCUGUUUCUGACGCUGAGGCGCGAAAGCUAGGGGAGCAAACGGGAUUAGAUACCCUGGUAGUCCUAGCCCUAAACGAUGGGUACUAAGUAGAGGAAAUUCCGAUAUUUUCUCUGCCGGAGCUAAUGUAUUAAGUACCCCGCCUGGGGAGUAUGGUCGCAAGGCUA